UUUUUUCCGUGUUUCGAUUUUCCACAAGCCUUCUUUAGAUUUUGGUAAAAAUAAUCAACAAUAUUUUUGCUCAAAAAACACGUUCUUUUUUUCUUCCUCGUGCGGCACAAUGCUUCUUGGAAAUGGAAAAAAGAAAUAUCUUUUUUCCUUCCUCAACCACACGAUUUUGCUUCUGUGAGAGGUACACAUGUUUAUUUCGAAAACAAUUUUUUUGAAUUCCUCGGGGGAUAUGGUUAUGCUUUCGCAAGAGGCACGGUUAUGCUUCAGAAACGACAAAAACUCAUUUUUUUUUCUGUGAAAGGCACGGUUUUUUCAUGAAAGAAAUAGUUCGUAAAAAUUUAUCGACAUGUGGUCUAGUUUUAAACGUCUCGAUGCAAGAAGUCCAACGUUGAAAAUGGUUUAUGAUUUGAACGCAUUUUUUAAGAGAUAAAACAUUUCGAAAUAAUGGAUUCACGAAAAAGGAAAAACUUCCAGGUUGCGUGAAGUGGCAUAAUGCAGUGCGCCACUUCUCGCAUUCUGGGGAGGUGGAAGUGACCUUUAAAUGAGGUACUCCUCAAUUAAUGAUUUGAAAAAAGAAACUCACAGAAAAUGACACAAGAAUAAAGCAGCCGAAUAUGAUCCACACUGGGCUUUCAAAGUAAAAGCGCAAGCCCAACGCAGUUGUGUUAGAAAAAUAGAAGGGUCAAAUAUGAUCCAUACUGGGCUUUCAAAGUAAAAGCAUAUGCCCGACUUAAGAUAGGCAAGAAAAUAUAGGGACCGAAUAUGAUCCACACCGGGGAGAUGAAAAUGACACA
RNAcentral lists this long non-coding RNA (794 nucleotides) under Hordeum vulgare. RNAcentral describes it as "long non-coding RNA (HVUL_LNC016239)". Lineage: Eukaryota; Viridiplantae; Streptophyta; Magnoliopsida; Poales; Poaceae. The record is from RNAcentral.